Molecule: non-coding RNA, 2248 nt
Organism: Macaca mulatta (Rhesus monkey)
Lineage: Eukaryota; Metazoa; Chordata; Mammalia; Primates; Cercopithecidae
Source: RefSeq, a predicted model, not a curated record
AGAAAAAGAUUUUGGAAUGCCUUUAAUCUUCUAAAUCAACAAUAAAGAAAAAAAUGAAAUAAAGGUCAAGGUUUUGAUACACUGCUUCUAAAAUACAUCCCAUACUGAGUAAAAUACCAUGAAAUCAUCUGUCAGAACCGACUUUCGUCCAGAGACUACAUUCCAAGAGCGUGAAGACAGCGAAGUGGCUAUUGAUGGUUUUCUUAGAUUCCAAUGCACCUUAAUCAUAGUCACAAGACUGUGCGUUUUCAUCACUGCAGGAGCUGGCAGAAUUUUGUGACAAUCCUGGGAAAUGUUUUCAGAUGGCCCCUUCUAUGAAUUAUGAAUGUUUCACAAAGCUCUAUGGUUUCCAUGAGUGAAUUUGGUGUUAUGGCAAGAUUUGAAACUGUCUGACCUGUUAGGGGUGAAAACAACUUGUCUGGACUGUCUGCCUCUCACUGUGGGAGCAGCUCCUGGCUUAGAAGUUCUAGACAAGGUCCAAAGGCAGUUAACAGAGAACCUACAUCUUAACACAGGAGAUUCCAGGGAGUCACACAGAUGGCCCCCAUGGAGGGUCAAGCUGGACGAGGAAAGAGAGGUGAAAUAUGAGAGAAGCUGAGAGGAUACACAGCAGGAAGACAAGCUUUCAAGGAGCUUCAGCAUGUGCAUCUGCAUUUAGACCACAAAGAGCAACAGUGCUGGAAUUUCCACUCUCUGAGGUGUUUGGUAUGUGAAUCCCAUGGUAGGGAAAGUUGUUUUGAAAGAAUCAUGCAAAAUUGAAGAGAAUGUUUAUUUAAUAAGCAUCAAGUUUUGCUCAAGCUUAAUACAUUCUCAACUGUGUGACUUUAGGAAAUACAAUCUGUACAGUGUCUCUGAGGUAACCACUUACCAUAGACAACAAUACAACUCAUACAGCUAAAAUAAGCAUCUCAAAAAUAUCUGCCCAGCCCUCAGCUUCCCAACCACUCCGCGCAGAUACGUGUCUAUUUUGUACCUAAAUAUUACCCAAAGUGGAAACUGUCCACCUAUAUCUCAUUUCUGUGUUUUAUCACAGUAAGUCCCUAUUCCAUGAAUUUGCUUUUGCCAUUUUUAUGACAUAUCAAUGUCUGUCCAAAAGACUCCCAUAAAUUAUUCAGCUUCUAGUAGGUCACCUAAGAAAGGCCAAGAGAGGAAUUUUCCAUCAAAUUAGUACUUUCUUCACCAGAAAUAAGGGUGGAAGACUCUCUCAACAAGACACCACAGAAGAGGCGGGUGGGUGGUAAAUUUCUUCUUUGUUUUUCUUCUGUAGUCGAUGCCUCCUCCAUGACAGUUUUACUAUGUGAUAAUUAUUUGUUAAUAUGUUUGGUUUUCCUCUAGAUCCAACCUUCCUUGAUGAAAGGAUGUUAGGGGCUCAAUAAAUGCUUCAUGAAGAAAUGAAUCCAAUAACAUGCCAGGUCUGCUUCUAUCUAUACCUUAUCACCUACAUUUUUGGCUUUAUUAAUUAACAAAGAAGUGGGGAGGGAGUAAAUUUUUUUAUUCUAAGAACUCACUUUGCUCUAAAGUCCUCUGAGCAACAUGUGGGCAUCAGGGUCUGUCUGCAUCCCAAUUAAUAUGUUUUCACUGAGCUUCCUUUCCAGGCUGGAUGCACAAAGAGUGCCAAUGCAAGUGUUGAAGACCUGCUCCCUAACACUACUUGGACGAUCUGUUCUAGUCCUUUGGAAGCUUCUUCCUCUGACAGGAUACUGUCCUAGAGAUUAUCCCACUGCCCAGGGAUAAGACUCAAUAAAGAUGGUGAUAAAUUAGGAGAGGGGAGAUGAUGGAGGAACCUGUGGAAGAGGAAAGAGGAGAACAGAAAAUGAGAAGACGAAAUCUAAGUGAGAGCACAUGAAUAUGGCAGGAGAUCUAUGAGUCAAGAGGACCUGCAUUGAAUGUUUAUCUUGUCAAUGACCCAUAGUAAUGAAAGCCAACUGCACAAAAAUAUAUAUACCUACAGGAAUCUUGCAAGCUGUAGAAAAAAUCACGGGAUGGUUAUUUUAGAAUAUGGACACAAAUUCUUUAUUUAAAGCAUUAAGUAAUGUUAAUCUAUUCAUUCUGCAAAUAUGUAUUAAAUGCUACCCAUGGAUAUUACUAAACCAUGGAGAUUAUUAAAAAGAGCCUGGAAUCCCUUCCCUCUCUCUCUCUUGCUCCCUCUCUCAUCACAUGACACAUCAGCUCCCCAUUCACCUUCUGCUAUGAUUGAAAGCUUCCCGAAGCCCUCACCAGAAGCAGAUGCUGGUGCCACACUUCUUGU